GCCGGCGUAGCUCAACGGUAGAGCGGCUGAUUCGUAAUCAGCAGGUCGAGGGUUCGAAUCCCUCCGCCGGCUCCA
RNAcentral lists this transfer RNA (75 nucleotides) under Deltaproteobacteria bacterium. RNAcentral describes it as "tRNA-Thr". It matches the Rfam family "tRNA". Rfam says of the family: Transfer RNA (tRNA) molecules are approximately 80 nucleotides in length. Their secondary structure includes four short double-helical elements and three loops (D, anti-codon, and T loops). Lineage: Bacteria; Pseudomonadati; Myxococcota; Myxococcia. The record is from RNAcentral.